Molecule: long non-coding RNA, 832 nt
Organism: Engraulis encrasicolus (European anchovy)
Lineage: Eukaryota; Metazoa; Chordata; Actinopteri; Clupeiformes; Engraulidae
Exons: 5
Source: RefSeq, a predicted model, not a curated record
AGCAGUGGCCACCUCAAUUGUUUUUUAGUUAGACGGCAUUACUAUUAUUUCUGCUGAAAUGUAGGUUUCAGAAUUACAAGUCAGGUUUGAUUAAACAUUUAAUUAGGUUGCUGAAAUAAAUCUCUUUACCUGUCGUGCUGUCUCGAAGGACCUCCUCAACGAGUUUCUAAUCGAUAUCCGACCUUACUUUUCCUUACCGUUAGCAAGUUAGCUAACGUGUCAAACGUACCCAGCAAACAGGCAUACUGCUCCCGUAAUCAAGUUUUCUGCUGGAGUGGGGCUGCUGAUUCUUGUCUACGUCUAGCCCAUGAUGACUGAUUGAAAGGACAUUACAAAAUAGGCUACGUCAAUUCACCACAAGUCAAAAUCAGAUCAACAGACAGGGACAUCAGCCUUCUCUUGGGAAUAUGCCAGAUAUGCCAUAACAAGAAAAAUGGUGUUUUGCCCCUGCGGUUGUGAAGAGGAUGCUGUGUAGAUGGCAGCAUGAACAUGUCACACAGACAUUGGCUAAACUGCUCGGCUUCUACACUUGCCCUCAGAGUUCACAUAAGGUGAAGUGCACAGGUGUCCAGUCAGGUUCAGACUGAUGCUGGUAACAAGAGGAAAACAUGCUGAUUGGUAAGUGAGAUCCCUGCUCAACAAAAAUCCACACAGCACAACAAGUUAGCCUAGUUUGUGGUAUCAAAUGUAAAAUGUAAGUUUCAUCAAAAAGUUGUAGAACACAUCUGAAUAAAUUGCAGGCCAUCAAAGUAGUGAAUGGGCAGGGAAAACACAACCAGUAGGCUUAUGAAUUACUUUGACUCAGCACAGCACAGCAGUAGAUGCGAUGCUA